AAAAGGGGCUUUUGUCGUGCAUGGCACAUGUGGAGCAAUGCGGUUAUCUUUGGUCAUUUUUCAUGCAAAAUCUACAUCAAGAUUUUGGAAGCACACUUUUUGUUUUCUGGGCAGCUGGUGAUCCUGGUUUCCUU
Molecule: small nuclear RNA, 134 nt
Organism: Antechinus flavipes (yellow-footed antechinus)
Lineage: Eukaryota; Metazoa; Chordata; Mammalia; Dasyuromorphia; Dasyuridae
Product: U11 spliceosomal RNA
Exons: 1
Source: RefSeq, a predicted model, not a curated record